GGCAGAGGGGAGGAGGCAGGGGAGGAGGGGCGCGCGCGCCGGGUGGGGAGCCACGGAGGGCUUCGCCGCUGCCUCCCUCCCUCCCUCCGCAGCUUGACCCGGUAGUGAAGGCAGAGAGAGAGGCAGGCUGGGUCCGCCUGGCAGCCUACGGGAGGAGGCGGGAGCCGGGAAGGAGGGGAGCCGAGGCCCGGCGUGGGGAGGCCGGCAGGAAGGGCCUCGAGCCCAGUGCGGACCUUUCUUCAGCCUCUGUGCUACCGAGCCGCGCGCCAGGCUCCUGUGCGAGGAGGACGCGCUGACUCCCUCCGACCUGGGCUCCGAUGGAGCAGAAAUAGCGGGACCUGGACUUGUGGCGCGCCUGGUGCCACAUCUCGGGCUCUGCGAGCGUCCUGGCGCGGGAUCCUGCCGUUUGCAUCCAAGAGAGGGGAGGACAGGGGCUAAAGGAUGCAGGGAGGCUGCUGAUUUCCACUGAAGAGCUAAUUUCCUGUGAGACAUUAACAGUGAUUUAAGAAAAAGAUUCCUGUAACUGUAAUGUCUUACAAUAACAGAAUGCAGGAGAGCACAUAUCAAUGAAGAAAAGACAAAAUGUACUUAUCCAUGAAGCUGAGGUUAAGAAACCAGUGUCUUCAAGAGCCAAGGACAGCACUGGGUCUGUGCAGAGUUGAGAGAUGGUGAUGACAUGUGGUUUCCAGCAUUCCUCACCCAGUCCAGGGACACUGUGGGUGUGCCCAGCUUAAGUCCAGUAACUGGAAAUACAAGCCCAAGUUCUGGAGAGUUUGAGCUGCAGAGAUAUAUGUGGGAACACUUUGAACCUUGACUCAUUGGCCAUAACCAGCAGAGUGGAAAAUACAAGAAGAGAAAAAAACAUUGAACUGCGAUUUUAUAACAUCCUUUACUCGGCAGAGAGAAGAGGAAACACCAGGAAAGAAAACUGUAUUACGAUGUGAAAACUUAACGUUGAGAAAUUCAGGCAUCUUGGGGUUAGUGAGGAGAAGUUUUAGGGGCUUAGAUUCUUCAAAACACAUGUACAGAAAUGCAUAUUUCAUCUGAUAUCAAAUGACAUUUAUAGUGCUAAUCUUUACCUCAAGACUUCACAUCUUUUGGUGAUUGCAUCUUUUAGGUUUAUAGCAGCUAAGUUUGCAUGAAAACACCAGGGCUGUUUCAUUUCAGUCAAGAAUUAAUGUUCAUUGAUUGUGCUUCUGCAUUUCACGUAACUAUUGUAGAAUUUGUUUUAGUUUUAUGAGGGAAUAAUUGGUCCAACUUCUAUAUAACUCAGGAAUUUACUCUCAAACAACACUGUCAAUUAGUUACUUAUCUCUCUGGAAAUGAUCUGGGAACAUGGAGAGGAAAGGGAGGAAGGGGCAAAAUCUGACCACUUAAAUCUAAGCAUAUUAGAUCAUUUUAUGCUAGAAAGUCCUGAAUGAUGUGACUUUUGUUCUUGUAAAACACCUCUUUCCAUAGAUUCAUGGCCCAAACAGUAUAUAAAGAGUGGGGAAGGAACUGCAUUUGCAAAUAGUUCAAGUCAUUGCUCCAUCUUAACUAUGCAGUUCACAAAGUGUGAAGAAAUUUGAUCAUCUCAAAAAAGAUAAUGGGAAAAAAUAUGUUUUGUUCUGUGACUUUAAAGUCUUGCAAUAUUUUACAUAAAUGAUAAUGGGUGCUUUAAUAAGAACCCUUGAUACUUUUGUUAUUGUAUUCAAUAUAUGCAUAUAAUACAACAGGAUGAUAUUGUUUUGGAUUUGGAAAUGUAUUCUUUCUUAUGCAAUCUUAUGCAGUCAUACUGCUUGAAUAUCAUUACCUGAAUUUAUCUUUCUUUUUUUUGUUGUUGUUGUUUUACACUCUACUUAUUUGGUGCCUGUCAGUCUUUUGUCAUCAGUUUAUAUUCUACUAAACUCAAAAAGACAAUCUCAUACCUUUUGUAAUUGUAGGCAUUCUUUACUAGAUUUUUAAAUACACUUCAAAAAUUCAAGUACUUUGAUUUCAUGCCAUCAAGUAGCUGAAUCUAUCCCCCCCUCUCUUUUUAAAUUUAAGUGAGUAGUUCAAUUUCUGUCACUUUCUACUUUGUGAAUUCUAAAUCUUUUAAAACCAUCUUGCCAUUUUUCGUGCACUUACCCUUACAGAAAACUCUGUGAAACACUACUUAUCUCUACUUUUAUGUUUUUAACUCCUUUUUUAUAUUACUAUUCCCUCUGCUUUCUAAAUGCACAUAUUAAUUUGUUCUUUUUAUUCUCUGUAGCUCUUCUCAGUAUAUGAAUUCAGUUUCCCAUCAGUCUCCAUACAAUUUUUAAAAAGUUGAGUAUUCUGUUAUUUUAAUAUGAUAUCUAGUGCCCAUAUAUUAAUUCUGCCUCUUAUUUUUAAAAUAAUUUUAUUGUUGAUUUAAAACGACAACAGUUUCAAUUCCCAGAAAGUGAAAGGAAACAAAGGAAUAAUAUUAUGGGCUUAAUUUUUAUCAGUGAACUUGUAGGUGAAGAAAAGAUUUGGGGAAGGAAAUGAACAUAUUAUAUUGCCAAAUAGUAAGGAACAAUCAGAUGUGUUUUCUAGUCUCUGGAAAAGCAUGUUUCAAGAAAUUCAAUGAAAAGUUCAUCAUGCUUGCUUAGAUUGUUGAGAAGCAAAAAUGCUGAUGAACAUUUGGAAGCAAUGAGAAUGUAAUUCUAAUCAUACUAUUUUAAUAAUGUUGCAAAACUCUCCAAACACUACUCUGUGUGGAUGUCUUUCAGAAUAUGAUGAAUACUAGUAGUCUUAUUCUGCCCUUUUCUCUCUAUCACAAUAUAUACAUUGUAUAUUGCAUACACAUAUUUUCCAAAUAUUACAUAUAAUUUCAUGUAAUUUAUAGACCUAUUAAGGCCCAACCAUUUUCUUGGAUAGGGGAUUCUUUAGAAGUCCAGCUUAAAUAAAGCCCUUAUAGAAAGUUUUUUUAAAAUUUAUACAUAAUCACCUAAAGUAACCUUAUCUACUGAACUCUUAGUACAUGCUAUCGGAACCUUUUAUCACAUUUCUUCCUGGCUUGCAUUACAACACUGUUGACAUAUCUCAGCCUUACUUCUAGGCUUCUUUGAGAGCAUGACUCAUGUUUGUAUUCCUCACUGAGGUUGAAUGAAUAAGAGAAACUACAGUAGUAGGAAAAAACAGUACAUGUAGAUAUCAAUGAAUAUGAAAGGGUCAAAUGGAUCUAUUAUAGUAAGCACAAAAUCAACUGACACCAGCAAAGUAAACCCAAAAUUUUUAAUGGUAUUUUAAUAGAUCAAGAGGAACAAGCAGAUUUUUGAGACAGUUGUCUCCUACUUUCUCUAUCACAGGGAGUAAUUUUAAAAGAAAAAUGGAGGGUAAGUUUCUUUAAGAGAAAAUUGUAGUUUAAAACAGGUCAUGGGAUAAUUAGAAAUAAUUUAAUUUCUUUAGAGGAUUUUAAUCUUUCAACUGCUUGCAAUUAGAUCCUAAGGCAAUAAAAGAAUAAGGAGAUUUGGAAAACCAUUGUCUGUAAUCUCUGAAGAAAAGUGGACAUUAGGGGAGUCAGUUGAAAAGCAAAGCUAUCACCAUUUUCUAAAGAGGAAAAAGGUGAACCUCACAAACUAUAGACCAAAAAAAUAGGACAUCGAGAGAAAGAAUAUGAAGCUAGCAUAGAUUCACAAAGAAUGAGUCAAAUCAAACAACAUGCAUUUUUUAUUUAUAAAGCAUGACUUGUUCAUUAUCAAUUCAUGUUAGCUUAAUCAUUAGGCAUUAAUGCCAUCACUGCAAUGCAUAUGUCAGCAAUAAAUAAUCAAAGACCAGGCUUCCAUCAUUCUGUUUAAUAUCUUCAAGUAAUGCUUAAGUUUGCAAAUGCUCUUUUAACACAUUCUCCAUAUGCAGCCUGCCCAGCACUGCACACAAUAGACCUGUUACUUCCCCCUCACGAGCACUCCUAAUAUUUCAUGUGCUCAUCCAAUUGACUUCUCCCACUGGUGCCUCAUAUUGAAUUUGUAGAAUCACACCUGCUCCUUUUUCAAAACUCUUCUGAGUUUUUUCUUAAAUAAUUCACUGACCCCAAAGUUGUCAGAUAUUUGAAGACUACUCGCACAAUUUUAAUAUUAUAAAUGUAUAAUGUAAAUGUAAUUAAGAUUUGUAUAAUGUACGAUGUACUUUGGUAAAUAAAAGUAUGCUGUGAAUAAAUACGUAUGAUACAAUUCAAAAUUUUACAUAAAUAUGUGAUAAAAUUUAG
This 4186-nucleotide long non-coding RNA is filed under the name Pan troglodytes (chimpanzee). Its description in RNAcentral is "long non-coding RNA NONPTRT015717". The record is from RNAcentral. Lineage: Eukaryota; Metazoa; Chordata; Mammalia; Primates; Hominidae.